Molecule: long non-coding RNA, 1092 nt
Filed under: Homo sapiens (human)
Lineage: Eukaryota; Metazoa; Chordata; Mammalia; Primates; Hominidae
Description: HSALNT0298547
Source: RNAcentral
GGGGUUGUAUGUUGGAGGAGGGAAUAUGUAGGAAAUCAGGGUGACAUUUAAAGCUGAGGGUGCAUAGUGUCCCCCACCAGUGUUUCAGGGAGAAAUUUGAACUCGCAUUUGCACACAAACAGCAGGAUUUUAAGAGAGCCCAGGUGAAGGCGUCACCCUCAGAAUGGAAGGGGUGGGGAGAAGGGCCGGGGUGCAGUCUCAGGGAGGAGGUACCCUUAGCUGCAGAAUCACCGUCCUGCACGUGUGUACCUCUGCAAUGUGGUCAAAUAGAACGGCUGUGGACGCGACACCACCCAUUUGCCUUUUAAGUUAGCAAGCCCAAAGUAUGCUUUAAUGUUUACUUUUUAAGAUUUUUAGAAAAGGUAGAAGACGACUCUAUUUCCUAAUAUGGUAAUUACUGCUUUUGUCAAAAUGUGAAUGCUGCGUGCACAUUUCUGCAAUAGCAUUAGUGAACACCAUGUUGAAAUCACAUUUUUUUUUCCCUUUUCCUCCAAUUUUGUGGGAUUCUCGUUCCUUGUUGAGGCACCCUUGGCUAAUGGGAAAAGCACUGGAUCUGUGAAAAGAUGGCCAUCUCUGAACCAGGGAGAGGAUCCUCACCAGACACCAAAUCUGAUGUCUUGAUCUUGGACUUCUUAGCCUUCAAAAUGACCCCAGAAAUGCCAAUGAUCCAGCUUCAGUGAUGCAAAUGAAGACCUCAGGGAUCAACAGAGCAAUGAGAGAAGGAACCUAGGUCCCUGAAUGACUCUGGAGCAGAGAUGCCCCAGACAUCUUACCAUGCCCCUUACCUCGAAUGGUAGAAGGUAUUCAUAGAAAUAGCUGUGGAAUGGCAGAAAAACCAUUAGGAAGAAGUUGAACUGCCUUAACUUCAAGUCUGAGGCUUUCAUUAGCUGGGUGGUCUCCAAAAACUGGACUGACCUCUUUGGCCUUCACCAUCCUCACCCAUGAUGAAGGAGAUGAGGACGCAGACACAACAGAGGAAAGACCAUGUGAUCACACAGAGAAGAUGGUAGUCUACAAGCAAUGUACAGGGACCUCAGAAGGAACCAACCCUGCUGGCACCUUGAUCUUGGACCUCUAGCCUCCAGGACUGUG